RNAcentral lists this ribosomal RNA (257 nucleotides) under uncultured bacterium. RNAcentral describes it as "partial 16S ribosomal RNA". It matches the Rfam family "Bacterial small subunit ribosomal RNA", at positions 524 to 776 of the family's 1533-position model. The record is from RNAcentral.
CACGGGGGGGGACUAACGUUAUUCAUCAUAACUGGGCGUAAAGGGUACGUAGGUGGUUUAUUAAGUCUUAAUUAAAAAAAUCUAAGCAUAACUUAGAAAUUAAUUAUUAUACUGGUAUUCUCGAGGUUAAAUUAAGAAAGUUAUAUUUUUGAAGUAGGGGUAAAAUUCUAAAAAUAUCAAAAAGAUAACCAUCAGGCGAAGGCGACUUUCUACUUUAAUACUGACACUGAGGUACGAAGGCAUGGGUAUCAAACGGG